Molecule: ribosomal RNA, 466 nt
Filed under: uncultured bacterium
Lineage: Bacteria
Description: partial 16S ribosomal RNA
Rfam family: Bacterial small subunit ribosomal RNA
Source: RNAcentral
GACGAACGCUGGCGGCGUGCUUAACACAUGCAAGUCGAACGGAAAGGCCCUGCUUGCAGGGUACUCGAGUGGCGAACGGGUGAGUAACACGUGGGUGAUCUGCCCUGCACUUCGGGAUAAGCUUGGGAAACUGGGUCUAAUACCGGAUAGGAGCCAUCUUUAGUGUGGUGGUUGGAAAGUUUUUUCGGUGUAGGAUGAGCUCGCGGCCUAUCAGCUUGUUGGUGGGGUAAUGGCCUACCAAGGCGGCGACGGGUAGCCGGCCUGAGAGGGUGUACGGCCACAUUGGGACUGAGAUACGGCCCAGACUCCUACGGGAGGCAGCAGUGGGGGAUAUUGCACAAUGGGCGCAAGCCUGAUGCAGCGACGCCGCGUGGGGGAUGAAGGCCUUCGGGUUGUAAACUCCUUUCGCUAGGGACGAAGCUUUGUUGUGACGGUACCUAGAUAAGAAGCACCGGCUAACUACGUG